UACGGAGGAUGCGAGCGUUAUCCGGAUUCAUUGGGUUUAAAGGGUACGUAGGUGGCCCUGUAAGUCAGUGGUGAAAACCUGUCGCUCAACGAUAGGCGUGCCAUUGAUACUGCGGGGCUUGAGUCCAGUUGAGGUAGGCGGAAUGUGUAGUGUAGCGGUGAAAUGCAUAGAUAUUACACAGAACUCCGAUUGCGAAGGCAGCUUACUAAACUGACACUGACGCUGAGGUACGAAAGCGUGGGUAGCGAACAGGAUUAGAUACCCUGGUAGUCCACGCCGUAAACGAUGCUCACUGGCUGUAUGCGAUACACCGUAUGCGGCCAAGCGAAAGCGCUAAGUGAGCCACCUGGGGAGUACGCCGGCAACGGUGAA
This 372-nucleotide ribosomal RNA is filed under the name uncultured bacterium. RNAcentral's name for it is "bacterial SSU rRNA". It matches the Rfam family "Bacterial small subunit ribosomal RNA", at positions 524 to 898 of the family's 1533-position model. The record is from RNAcentral.